GUUAUAACAGCAGCAAACACUAACCCUCGCUAGCAGCCUCCUGGAGGCCGAGGGAGAUAGAGGCACUUUGGAGAAAUUUGAGGCCACGCCAGAUCAGCCCCGUGGAUUAACGUCACCCCCCGUGCACAGGAAUUCGAUCUUGCUUCUGCAGGCAGAGCAGAUGGGAAAAGGAGGAAAGGAGAUAGUCAAGGAUACUCAGCAUGAGUAUCCGGCUCAGUCCAGCACGUCUUUUGAAUGGGAGAUAGUCUAGGGACGGAGCCUUCUGGUCCAGUCGGAACAGAACCUCACACCCAUCCCAGCUCUGUCACCCAGCAGCUGUGUGCCCUCGGAAAUGCCACCCUCCUCCUGCACCUGCCUUCUCACCUGCAAAAUGGACAUGGCCAUCCUUACCUCAUAAAAGGGCUGCAAGAAUUUAAUACAAUACCACGAGGGUAAAGUGCUUGGCCUAGAAGCCAGUUACUAGGAGCUCACACAGUGACAGCUGGCGUGAUCGCUGAGUGGUUCGGGACGGGCCAGGUGCUGAGAAGCCGAGACGGCAGGGCAUUUAGCCACGAAGUUCCUGUGCUCGUCAGAGACCGUGAGCAGCGCCAGGGCAGCGAUGAAGAGGUGAACCCAGAAGCUUCCCCCUCACAUGACCCGGGAGGAGGAGAGACACAUACUGUGAUAAAUAUAACAGAGUGUGCUCACUCCCAGGGCUCGUGCAAAGUGCGGGAGGGAUACGUCAGCUGGGAGGCACCUGGUUCAUGUUGCAAACUAAUCUCAGCUCAAGUUCAGAAGUUCAGAAGGCGGAAGGGAAGAAAGUGGGCAUUAGCGAAACUCCUCUGUGUUCCUGGACACGUCGCCCACACAAUGCUUAACGUGCAUCCUAGGACCCUUGUGAAGGAAGAGUUUCUCCCCCUCGGUCUGCAGAUUAGGACACAGAGGCCCUGAGGACCAGAUUCAUUGCUCAUGGGUAUCAGAAUCAUCUCAUUUUGACACCAAAACCUGGCAUCUACAGAUUCCAAGGAACGCAUUUCUGCUCUUGGGGAAGCUCAGACAGCCUCUUGUGCUGGGGCCAUCAGAACAUGACAACUCAUCUGCUCGGGGGAGAUCACUUCCUAUAAGGACAUGGUAGUCUUGGACUGAGAGAUCUGCAGGCAGAUUCGUGGAUGGGUGUACUGUUUGCUUUAGUGCAUACAUCUUCUUAAGCUUCUCCUAUUAAGCACUGGAAACCCAGCAGGGAAAAAAGGAGGCAGUCUCUGCCCUCAUUGUGCAUUGUUUAAAGGGAAAUGCAGAAAUUGAACUAAUGCUUCCCCCCCAACAACCAACUUCCAGCUGGGAUUAUUCCCUAAUAGCCGGAAAUAGGGAAGGGCUCAUCAGAGAAGGAUAGCGUGGUCUGGGGAAGAACAGCAGAGAAGGAUAACAUGGUCUGGGGAAGACCAUGUGUGGUGAAUGUUCCAGAUCACCAGCUCUGGGUCAGGGACUAGGCUGGAGGAGCACAAACUGAUGGAGGGACACACACCUUCCUGCAAGAUGGUCACAUCUGUUGAGAGCAAAAGGGAGAUUAUGUACAAAGUGCAAUGGGCACUAGGGAAAGGGAUUCAAGACCAUGCCUGGUAAAGCCAGGGGCUGUUGCAGGGAAGACAGUAUGCCAUCUGAGGCUUGAAGUCAAGCAGUCAGUUCCAGCUGGACAAGAUGGCAAGAAGGCAAUACACAAAAAUAUGGAGGCAUGAGAGAGCAUAGAACACAGAGAAUGCAAUGGGAGUCUGGUACUUGGGAAGCAAAAUACGAUGAGGAGAGGAGAGAAGGAGCAGGAUUUGGGAUGGAGAGGCAGCCAAGGGCAGUCCAGGGUGGGGGGGUCUGCAUGCCUUGCUGACGUGGUGUCACUUAUAUCCUUUAGAUGAGGGAGGAUCACAGAAGAACACUGUGAGUGGGUCAACGGGAUGUCCAGGUAGUCCUGAGAUGCUGUUCCUGGUGGUGUUCUCCUCCCCCUUCUGUUCCUUCUCCUCCUUCUCCUCCCCCCUCUCUCAUUCUCCUCUUCCAUCACCUCCUCCUCCUCCUUUCUCCUUUUUCAAUUGACCCUUGCUGAAUAUACUGUAAAAUUAUGAGUUUAGUCCUUUGUCUUAACAAGAAGAGAUUCUUGUGAACAACACAAAUAUAUUUGCAUAUUUGUCCGAA
Molecule: long non-coding RNA, 2157 nt
Organism: Ailuropoda melanoleuca (giant panda)
Lineage: Eukaryota; Metazoa; Chordata; Mammalia; Carnivora; Ursidae
Exons: 3
Source: RefSeq, a predicted model, not a curated record